ACGAACGCUGGCGGCGUGCCUAAUACCUGCAAGUAGAACGCUGAAGAGAGGAGCUUGCUCUUCUUGGAUGAGUUGCGAACGGGUGAGUAACGCGUAGGUAACCUGCCUUGUAGCGGGGGAUAACUAUUGGAAACGAUAGCUAAUACCGCAUAGCAAUGGAUGACACAUGUCAUUUAUUUGAAAGGGGCAAUUGCUCCACUACAAGAUGGACCUGCGUUGUAUUAGCUAGUAGGUGAGGUAAUGGCUCACCUAGGCGACGAUACAUAGCCGACCUGAGAGGGUGGACGGCCACACUGGGACUGAGACACGGCCCAGACUCCUACGGGAGGCAGCAGUAGGGAAUCUUCGGCAAUGGGGGCAACCCUGACCGAGCAACGCCGCGUGAGUGAAGAAGGGUUUCGGAUCGUAAAGCUCUGUUGUAAGUCAAGAACGGGUGUGAGAGUGGAAAGUUCACACUGUGACGGUAGCUUACCAGAAAGGGACGGCUAACUACGUG
Molecule: ribosomal RNA, 496 nt
Filed under: uncultured bacterium
Lineage: Bacteria
Description: partial 16S ribosomal RNA
Rfam family: Bacterial small subunit ribosomal RNA
Source: RNAcentral